GAUGAACGCUGGCGGCGUGCCUAAUACAUGCAAGUCGAGCGAACGGACGAGACGCUUGCUUCUCUGAUGUUAGCGGCGGACGGGUGAGUAACACGUGGAUAACCUACCUAUAAGACUGGGAUAACUUCGGGAAACCGGAGCUAAUACCGGAUGAUAUUUUGAACCGCAUGGUUCAAAAGUGAAAGACGGUCUUGCUGUCACUUAUAGAUGGAUCCGCGCUGCAUUAGCUAGUUGGUAAGGUAACGGCUUACCAAGGCGACGAUGCAUAGCCGACCUGAGAGGGUGAUCGGCCACACUGGAACUGAGACACGGUCCAGACUCCUACGGGAGGCAGCAGUAGGGAAUCUUCCGCAAUGGGCGAAAGCCUGACGGAGCAACGCCGCGUGAGUGAUGAAGGUCUUCGGAUCGUAAAACUCUGUUAUUAGGGAAGAACAUAUGUGUAAGUAACUGUGCACAUCUUGACGGUACCUAAUCAGAAAGCCACGGCUAACUACGUG
RNAcentral lists this ribosomal RNA (497 nucleotides) under uncultured bacterium. RNAcentral's name for it is "partial 16S ribosomal RNA". It matches the Rfam family "Bacterial small subunit ribosomal RNA", at positions 28 to 507 of the family's 1533-position model. The record is from RNAcentral.